GUGAAUCAUCGAAUUUUUGAACGCAAAUUGCACUCUCCUCGGAGAGUAUGCCUGUUUGAGGGUCAGCCUAUAAAAAAUCGACAUCGUUGCUGUUUCACGGUGACGUUCGUCGGAAAUUGGGUCAUCUUAAAUCUUUUGGGUUUAAGCGACUUAAAAUUUUUUUUUUGUUUCCUUGAAGUUUUUUCUAGGUUUUUUUUCUUUCACCGUUUAAG
Molecule: unclassified non-coding RNA, 212 nt
Filed under: Glomus sp.
Lineage: Eukaryota; Fungi; Glomeromycota; Glomeromycetes; Glomerales; Glomeraceae
Description: partial contains 5.8S ribosomal RNA and internal transcribed spacer 2
Rfam family: 5.8S ribosomal RNA (bases 1-65)
Source: RNAcentral